RNAcentral lists this ribosomal RNA (256 nucleotides) under uncultured bacterium. RNAcentral describes it as "partial 16S ribosomal RNA". It matches the Rfam family "Bacterial small subunit ribosomal RNA", at positions 524 to 776 of the family's 1533-position model. The record is from RNAcentral.
UACGGGGGGGAGCAAGCGUUGUUCGGAUUUACUGGGCGUAAAGGGCGCGUAGGCGGUCGUGACAAGUCACUUGUGAAAUCUCCGGGCUUAACUCGGAACGGUCAAGUGAUACUGUCGGACUAGAGUACAGAAGGGGCAACUGGAAUUCUCGGUGUAGCGGUGAAAUGCGUAGAUAUCGAGAGGAACACCUGCGGCGAAGGCGGGUUGCUGGGCUGAUACUGACGCUGAGGCGCGAAAGCUAGGGGGAGCGAACGGG